UGGGGAAUAUUGCGCAAUGGGCGGAAGCCUGACGCAGCGACGCCGCGUGGGGGAUGACGGCCUUCGGGUUGUAAACCUCUUUCAGCAGGGACGAAGGGUGACUGACGGUACCUGCAGAAGAAGCGCCGGCUAACUACGUGCCAGCAGCCGCGGUAAUACGUAGGGCGCAAGCGUUGUCCGGAAUUAUUGGGCGUAAAGAGCUCGUAGGCGGUUUGUCGCGUCUGUCGUGAAAGCCCACGGCUUAACUGUGGGUCUGCGGUGGAUACGGGCAGACUAGAGGCAGGUAGGGGAGAAUGGAAUUCCCGGUGUAGCGGUGAAAUGCGCAGAUAUCGGGAGGAACACCGGUGGCGAAGGCGGUUCUCUGGGCCUGUACUGACGCUGAGGAGCGAAAGCGUGGGGAGCGAACA
RNAcentral lists this ribosomal RNA (407 nucleotides) under uncultured Actinomadura sp. RNAcentral's name for it is "bacterial SSU rRNA". It matches the Rfam family "Bacterial small subunit ribosomal RNA", at positions 355 to 774 of the family's 1533-position model. The record is from RNAcentral. Lineage: Bacteria; Bacillati; Actinomycetota; Actinomycetes; Streptosporangiales; Thermomonosporaceae.